AAAACCUAACAUUUUCUUUUUGUAGGGGGAAGGCUCAGGAAGUCCUGGAGGAAAAAAAAUGAAUUGGGAAGAUUACUUCAUAGCAAACCAAAGGGAUUGACUAAUGGAGGCCAGUGGUGUGACCAUCUUCUAGGACUGGUGCCCAAGACCUUUCCUUCAAGAACCUCCUGUGAGGGGAAGAGUGAAGAAUACACUCAGGCAAGUCAUUUGUACUGAAACCAUCUUCCUUUCUCUCAACUCCAG
This 243-nucleotide long non-coding RNA is filed under the name Mustela putorius furo (domestic ferret). RNAcentral describes it as "lncRNA (ENSMPUG00000025419.1)". Lineage: Eukaryota; Metazoa; Chordata; Mammalia; Carnivora; Mustelidae. The record is from RNAcentral.